CUUCUCACACCAUGUCUGCCUGACCCCAGGAGUGCCCCCAACUUCUUCUAAACCUUUUAACCAUACAUAACCACCCCUGUCCCUUCCAUUCAGUCUGGCUUUCCUCCUACAGGGCUCCAUGCUGAAAGUGCCACAGGACCCAGGAUAGAGCCUUGUGGGACACUGUCUGGACCUGUUUGAGCACUGUCACGGCUGUUUGCUAGUUCCCUGCAGGCAUGUUGGUGCUUGGAUGAAUGAGAUCCAUAGAGGUUGAGGAGUUUACUCAACCACAGAAGAAAUGCAGCAGGUUCCUGCUUCUUUUGGCAAAAGCAGCUGCACUCUUUUGCUGGCAGUUUAUUAGUUGAAAUGCAGUGCAAUGAGAGAAAGAGAGUAAGAGCAACAGCCCUCUGUUUUAAUAAAACAAAUACUUGCACUCAAAAGUGCCUCAAUACUUUUGUCUCAAUCACUCUGCAUCAAGAUGUGAAAAAUGUUAUCACUUAAACUACGUCUGCCAUUCACAUGUGUAUACUUGGGUAGAUGUGCUGUCUUAAUAGAGCCAAAGUUUGUGGUCAAAUUUUAAAUAAUUACAUUCCAUAGGAAAGAGCCUUACAGUGUCACAUGCACCAUACAUCUGUGAAUAAUAUUUCUGAAAAAUUUGUAUUGAAUAUUGUAAUUGGACUUGGAAUAGCAACAAACAACGAUAAUUGUGUUACAAGUUUGAAUUCCUAACUCUGGAAAUGUAUUGUUUUUUCUCAGUUUGAUCUUUUUUAGUAUAGCAUGUUAUAUAAAUUCAAACCAAUUAUCAAAUGA
Long non-coding RNA from Carassius carassius (crucian carp), 789 nucleotides. RefSeq lists it as uncharacterized. The transcript has 2 exons. NCBI's taxonomy places the organism in Eukaryota, Metazoa, Chordata, Actinopteri, Cypriniformes, Cyprinidae. The record is from RefSeq and is a predicted model, not a curated record.